UUUUGUAGUCACAGUAUGAUACUUCCAUGUUUUCAGCCUGGCGACAUUGGCACAGCUAGGGCGGGCAGCGGGCGGGACCGAAGGACGAUUCAGUUGUAGCUGCACGACUUAACAGCAGACACCCGCUGCUGUUGCUCCACUGUCCCCACCUUUGUUUACUUGUUUACCUCACCUGAAUGUGUGAUGAGGUGAAUAGUGAAAAUAACCAAAAAGUGAAGAUGAAUGGAGCAAAAGAAGAAAAAGGAGAGCACCACCACCAUCACCACCACUAACAACAACAACAACAACAACAACAACAACAACACGCCUACUUCCCUCCACGCCACCUCAUCACGCUAUGGGGGACGAGCUCACCUUAUUAUCGCAGGUGUGACGCAUCCCCUGCAAGUCUUACCUGGCAAGAUCAUCUGAACUCAUUGAACGAAAGUAGCAACGAAGAGGAGGAGGAAGAGGAAAUGGAGACAAAGAGAAAGAACCUGUGGGAGAGAAAGAAGGAAGGACAAGAGAUGGGGGGAGGGGGAGGAAGGGGACUGACCGAACAGAUGCUUAAAUAAAACAGCUGUUGAGUAAGAGAGAAUAGUAAAAAAAAAAAAAAAGUGGGAAGGAGGAAUUUUCUAACCGUUUCCGUAUCAGGUGAAUUAUUGCUUUUAUGUGCUCUCUCUCUCUCUCUCUCUCUCUCUCUCUCUCUCUCUCUCUCUCUCUCUCUCUCUCUCUCUCUCUCUCUCUCUCUCUCGACGUUUACGUAAAGUUAUAUAAUCUUUAUAUUCAUUAACUAAUCUCUAAUUGCAUGAACAUUUUUUGUAUAUUUCACGUAUAUCAUUUGACACCUAAGGGCGCAAUAAAAUAAUCAACAACAAUCUCUCUCUCUCUCUCUCUCUCUCUCUCUCUCUCUCUCUCUCUCUCUCUCUCUCUCUCUCGUAGCAGUGUCGGGGAGGGAGUGGGCGUGGGCGUGGUGGGAGUCAGGCGGCACCGGAGCUUCCACUUGUGUUCAGACCUUUGGGUGAAUCAAACACUGGAGUGCCUGCCAGUGCUGCCAGAGCCGUCAGCACUGCCAAAGCGAGCACCGAGGGAGCUGAGGACGCCGCCACUGCUCAUGGUUCUGCUGCUACCUACGUUGUUGCUGGUGGUGGUGGUGGUGGUUCUGCUGCUGAGGAUGAUAAAUAUGAAGGCGUCAAAGAAACACAGCUAAGUAAUCUUUACCACUGUAUGUAAUUCAACAUUCGGAGUAUCUCAUUGGUAAAUUCAAUAUAUUUCCUCUUUAUAAUGUUAGUGAUUCGGAACUUGUUGAAUAACUGUACGAAGUUAACCUUAACCACAAUUACCCUGUUUUUAUUGAUACGCUGUAUAAAAAAAAAAAAAAAAGUAGGUCUCGAACUUGAUAAAGAAAAAAACUAAAUAAUGAACUCUAAAACUCUAAACAACAGCAAAACACAACUCAUUAACUCAACGCUUCACAUCACAUAAUUAUAACUAUGGACAUCAUCAUAUCUCUGAGGAAAGUAAAUGAACCCAAAUUCUUAGGGUGGGUGGUGGGUGGGUGGGUGUGUGUGUGUUUGUCCCUUAGAUUGUUACAUGAUAAAGUUACGAACGAAGAGCGAGAUGUUGUAAAGUCACGAACCAGGAGUGAGAUGUGAUGGACAUAAGAACCCGCGUCAGUGGUGAAGGGAGCAGAUUCAUCUCCUGCUCCACGCCGCGACUUUCCUCCAGGCCAGCGCGUCUCUGCACACAUAAUGUACAUGUCGUACACAAGAGGGAAGGUCAAAAGAAUACAUUCCAAGACGUCGCCUUACACCGAAGGCUCAGCCUGCUUUACUUUUCUCUACCAUAUUCCAAACUGCGGCAACCUUCUCUUAUCUUGUGGAGUAGAAAUCACUCUGGUAUUCCAUUACCACCAGCUUUCAGCGCCACCAGUCUUUCCAUGAUGAGCCAGUAACGACGUUACUGGACAUGACAACGAACGCUCCCAAGGCGCAGGAGAGAGAUAUAAAUCAUUUAAGAUGAGUCAAAUAUCCUGACAGUUACAUUCAUAAAUGUUCUCCAAUAAAUGUUCUUCAUCCUGGUUUCGGUAAAAAAAAUAAAUAAAUAAAAUAAAUAAAAUAAAUAUAAAAAAUAAAGCGAAAUUUAUGGCAUACAGUUUCUCCCUAAGCAUUGGCUUCUCAACACACAAUGAUUGUUGACAAAGGCCAAAGUAGAGGCGUAUUGCUGAUAAUUACUCUUUCUUUUCCUAUCCAGAGGAAUGUUAUGACAAAAGUAAAAGUUUCUAACCUUUCUAAAAGGCAAGAAUUUGAUUACAUUCCUGUUUUUUUAUAUUUUUUUUUUUAUGGUGCAUUAAAUUUAACUUUACAUUUUCAUUGUAAAACUAAAACCUGUUUCUGAACUUUUCUUCUUAUUUCCAUUUAACAUUUUACUCACAGUAACAAUAAUUACAUCUCCAGCGAUACACGCUAAUAUUUUUCUUUAACUAUUUGAGUUAUUUACAGAGAUAAGUCUUUUGCAGCUUUAAUGCACUAUUCUAACUAAAUACAUUAUGUAAAUUAAUUAAUAUAAUAUUUCUAUUAAUCAUUAGCUAUAAAAAAGUUCAUGUUAUUUAAUUACAUAUAAUUUUUAAAUGUAAAAUAAGAGAAUAAAUAGUAUACAUCUUGGCCACAUAAAUUCAAAGCAAGCCUCACCUGCCAAGCCUCUUAUCAGGAACUUCCUACUUAGACUUUUUUCACAAGUUUUAAAAAUGUUAACAAAGGUGGGAAUCACAUACAAUCUAUUACAGCAAAUUUAUGAUCAUUUAAGAUUUUAUUGUAUAAUUAAGUCUUCUCACGGUUUGAUUUAAUUCUCCAAGACUCCUACUUAAUAUAACCGUUAUCUUUAUCGGUGUUCUUCAACAAAUUGUACAAAGUUUAGGAAGAAGUCUCCAGCCUAACACCCUCACUGAAUCAAUCAUAAUAUAUUCUUCAUCUAAAACAUUUAUCAAGUGUCCUGCUUUAUACUCAUCCCUACAAAUAAGAAAAUUACACAAUGUAUACAUUACCGUUUAACAUGUAGCCAUAACGUAUAUAAAAAUAAAUAAAGCAAUCUAAUAAAUCCACUUUAUAAAAGCUACUGCCAAAAUUUUAUCUCCUGAGAAAAAAAUAAUAAUUAAUAAUCAGCCAAAAAUGGGAACCCACAUGGAGGUAAAUCAGCAACUGUUACAUAAGAUAGCGUGAAAGGAAUAUAAUUACCUCACUUUCCAAUGAACCGAAUAUCCUGAGCGCCUCCUGUGCUGUGACUCGCCACUCCUGCACACACACACGCCAAAUUAAAGCAACCCUUGAUAAAUAAAUAAAAAAAAAAAAAGCUAAAUUGGUGUGAGACAAAAUUCAUAAUAUAACCCUUAAUUGUCUAGAAGCUGAUGAAGUAAUGGUGAGGAUAGAACAAAGCCACACUCAGAAUUAGAGCCUCAGCCUGCCAUCAAUAUCGUGAGACAAGAUUCAAACAAAACCUUGCUGGUGCCUUUACGCGAUCAUUCCAGGUCUGUAACCGAUAAAGUUUAUUUUCAACUCAUUAGUUUACUUUAGACUAUACAUGACCUAUUGUAAGUAACUUUAACAUCCAGGUGGGUUGAUGCUACAGAGGUUAGCUGGUGUGGUGUAUAUAAUCGCUAUUUUUUAUUUAUUUAUUUAUUUUUCUUUUACACAUUUGAUGACUAGGCACCUAAAGAACAUAGUUAUUGCAAUCUGUAAUUUAGACUUACUUAUUCAACAUUUCAUAUCGAGAAAACUCCUUGUCAAGACACGGGAGAAUAUUGCGGAGAUGUGUAAGCAAGAGAUGCCUUCAGCCGCCAUGCUUCCGUUGUAUCAUUAGUUACUUUGUACGUUGUUAAGCCUUUUCUGGCAUAAUAAUUACUUGAAGCGGAAAAUCAUGUAUAAAAAGGAUGAUUUUGAUAAAUAACGCAGACCUGCAGAGUGUCCUUUCAAACAAGCAUAUUCAGAUUGCCGUUGGAAACACCCGCUCGAUCAGUUGUUUGCACAGGUGGGUAUCGUGUGGCAGCGCGGGCGCGUCUUUCCACUCUCUUCAGAUCGGAGCGUAACACUUUUAAGGCAAGUAUCAAAAUAAAGCUGACUAAAGGUGGACGAGGCAA
This is a long non-coding RNA of Scylla paramamosain (green mud crab), 4111 nucleotides long. RefSeq lists it as uncharacterized. The transcript is spliced from 4 exons. The record is from RefSeq and is a predicted model, not a curated record. NCBI's taxonomy places the organism in Eukaryota, Metazoa, Arthropoda, Malacostraca, Decapoda, Portunidae.